Molecule: unclassified non-coding RNA, 717 nt
Filed under: Hevea brasiliensis (rubber tree)
Lineage: Eukaryota; Viridiplantae; Streptophyta; Magnoliopsida; Malpighiales; Euphorbiaceae
Source: RNAcentral
AGCUUUUCAGGUUUACAACUGUGCCAAGCUGAAUUUGGUGCUUGUCAGUCCACAGCUUCCUAAAAAGAUUCGUGCUUUUGCUUCCUAUCGUGAUUUCACCUUUGCUGCCUACGGAAACCACAUAGCCGUUUUUAAGCGUACUCAACAGGUGGCAACUUGGAGUAGGCAUAGUGCUAAAGUUAAUUUGUUGUUACUGUUUGGCGAUCACAUCCUAAGUGUAGAUGUUGAUGGUAAUAUGUUCAUUUGGGGUUUUAAAGGACUUGAGGAAAAUCUUGCACCAAUUGGACACAUCAUGCUAGACAAUAAAUUUACACCCACCUGCUUAAUGCACCCAGAUACUUAUCUAAACAAGGUUGUUCUUGGGAGCCAGGAGGGUACUUUACAGCUUUGGAACAUCAGCACUAAGAAAAAGCUUUACGAGUUCAAGGGAUGGAAUUCCUCUAUUACCAGUUGUGUCUCGUCACCUGCACUUGAUGUUAUUGCAAUUGGCUGUGCUGACGGGAAGAUUCAUGUACAUAACAUUCGCUGUGAUGAAGAGUUGGUUACAUUUUCUCAUGCUACAAGAGGCGCAGUAACUGCCUUGUGUUUUAGUACUGAUGGACAACCCCUUCUAGCAUCUGGAGGUUCAUCUGGUGUCAUUAGCAUAUGGAAUCUUGAGAAAAGAAGGCUCCAAUCAGUCAUAAGAGAGGCUCAUGAUAAUUCAAUAAUUUCAUUGCA